Marasmius tenuissimus is the source of this 101-nucleotide non-coding RNA. Lineage: Eukaryota; Fungi; Basidiomycota; Agaricomycetes; Agaricales; Marasmiaceae. The record is from the annotation of a GenBank genome assembly.
GGCCGCCUGGUGAAAUGGCAUCACGUCUGACUACGAUCCGGUCUGCUCACAGGUUCAGAUGUCGUAUCAGGAGGAUGCAAAUCCGACCCCUGCGUUGGUCA